This is a long non-coding RNA of Hippocampus comes (tiger tail seahorse), 1514 nucleotides long. RefSeq lists it as uncharacterized. Lineage: Eukaryota; Metazoa; Chordata; Actinopteri; Syngnathiformes; Syngnathidae. The transcript has 3 exons. The record is from RefSeq and is a predicted model, not a curated record.
UUUACAUCAUCCGUGGCAAGUUUGACAAAGUUGGGAUGGCUGUUUGUAUUUAUCGGAACAUAAGACAUCAGCUUUUGACAUCGUUUACCACAGCACUUGGCUGCCAGGCAAGACGGCCAGUGUUUUGUGAUGAAUUUUGAGCAUGUCGUAUUUUGAUGGGUUAAUACGCUCCUGCGUGCGCAAUCACAAGCGAGCUCGGCGGCAACAACAGCGGCAGCGAGCUCAUCAUCUCCUCUGGGGAGGGCCAAGUAAUUAUGACAGAGAAAGCGAAGGCAAAGACUCGCAUAAUGUUCCUUUGAGUGCUGAAGAACAGCGGAGGAGGCCCGUGGAAAGAUAUUUCAUACAAUGCUCGAAUAGAAGGAAGAAGGGCGAGAGGGAAUGAAUGCAAGGGGGAAUAGAUUCAAAAAGCGGCAGAGAGCAAAGAGAGCAAAGAAGAAGCAGUAAGUCUUGCCUCCUGGGAUGCGGCGCUAAUUCAAACAGCCUCUUUUCAUUAGUUCGCUGCAUAUUUGACUACUUCUCAUACUUGCCACAGCCCUCGUGUGAAUAUGGGGAAACUCACAGUCUCGUUUAAUAGCUCAGGUCAACUUUGCACAUGGAGGAUCUACAAGAUGUUCAAACGAGGGUUUGCUUUUUUGGGGGGGAUCACAUGAGGAGAUUUGGGCUGCAAACGAUUCAUAAUUCAUGUACUUGAUGUAAGAGGCCACAAUCCACUGUUAUUUCAGGGAACAUCACCGUCCUGAGGGACGGAAUGAAAGACGAGCCGCGUCGUAUUAUGUUGGCCACAAGAUAACCAAAGCCGAUACAACAGCUGCGACGACAGAAAAACAUUUGAAGAUGCUGAGCUGAAUGUUCACCUUUAAUUUCUUUUGAGGUUGUCCCGGUCUUUUAAUGACCAUUUAUGUUCAUCUCUACAAUUUGUCAUCCAUUCUUUUUUGGUCACAGGAACGUCAAGCUGCUUGGAGAUGGUCUUACCGUCUUUCCCUUUAAGGUACAAGUCAGUUGCAUGUACCUGCGACUUGCUCCGGCUGCUGACAUUUGCAUGCACGUCGCCGGCAAUCGGCUGCAGAGACGAGGAAAUGAAGCGGAAACAGUCGACAUACAGUACGAUACAUCGCUGCUGCAUUAUUGAGCGCCCGUUUGAAGCAUGUCGCCAGUAAUUCUGAUCGACAGCGGGCACCCGUCCUCUGCGCAAGACACGGGGGACUCUUACCGUCGGGUGUCUUCCCCCACGUUCCGGUCAGGUACGAGAUUACAUAUCGAUCACGGAUGACCUUCAAUCAACUUCUGCAAACAAGCAAGAUGGUGAGUGAUGAGCUCAAGGAAGCCAUACAGCAUGUAGUUGUUUGACCUUCAGCUAAUUUGAAUUCAUGUUCAUGCCACACUGGUAGAGGAACGGCAUCUCUGGGAACUCGGCACUGGGUGUAUGAUGUCAGUGGGCCGGCUAGGACCACACAUUAUAGUGGUCUUAAUAUAAAUCUUUUUUUUUUAACCACUAACUUUUAAAAAGUGCAAUA